RNAcentral lists this transfer RNA (75 nucleotides) under Rhizobium rosettiformans W3. Its description in RNAcentral is "tRNA-Trp". It matches the Rfam family "tRNA". From Rfam's summary of the family: Transfer RNA (tRNA) molecules are approximately 80 nucleotides in length. The record is from RNAcentral. Lineage: Bacteria; Pseudomonadati; Pseudomonadota; Alphaproteobacteria; Hyphomicrobiales; Rhizobiaceae.
GUCGGGAUAGUGUAGUGGUUGCACACGGGUCUCCAAAACCUUGUAGUGUCGGUUCGAAUCCGGCUCCCCUCGCCA